AUGAUGCCUGGGGCUGCUCCCCUGGACUCUGCCCCAGGUCCCAGGCUCUUCUGUGGUGUUGUCCUGUGUCUCCUGGGAACAGGUGUGGUGCAUGCUGGGGUCCUCCAGUCCCCCAGACACCUGAUCAAAGCCAAGGGAGGAAAGGCCAUUCUUCAGUGCUCUCCUGACUCUGGACAUGAUACUGUGUACUGGUACCAGCAGGCCGAGGACAAGAGCCUCCAUUUCCUCAUUUCUUAUUAUCGAGAGUUAGAGAGAGAGAAAGGAAGCAUCCCUGGGCGCUUCUCAGCUCGGCAGUUCAGUGACUAUCACUCUGAGCUGAACAUGAGCGCCUUGGAGCUGAGGGACUCCGCGCUGUAUCUGUGUGCCAGCAGCUUGCACAGCCCUGCACAGGGACUGGCUUUCUCUACCCAAACCUUCCUGCCCCAGCUGAGGAUGUCACUGAGGGGGGUGUGGUAUGAAGUUGCUGCAGAAAAACCUGAGAUGCCUGUUGAGCGGUUCUCUGCACAGAGGCCCAAUGGCUCCUUCUCCACUUUGAAGAUGCAGCCUGCAGAGCAGGGAGACUCGGCCCUGUACCUGUGUGCCAGCUGUCAGACACAGUGUGCCUCAGCCCACUCCUUCCUGAGCACAAACCAUAGGGGCUCAGCCUCCUCCCACUUCCCAGAGACCCAAACUCAGGAGUUGCCUGGCCUGCUCCUCUUCGAAGGGAACAAAGGAUUUGGAACCAGAAUGGAGAUCUGA
Molecule: non-coding RNA, 738 nt
Organism: Dipodomys ordii (Ord's kangaroo rat)
Lineage: Eukaryota; Metazoa; Chordata; Mammalia; Rodentia; Heteromyidae
Source: the annotation of a RefSeq genome assembly